UUUCCUACGGGACGCAGCAGUGGGGAAUAUUGCACAAUGGGGGGAACCCUGAUGCAGCGACGCCGCGUGGGCGAGGAAGUAUUUCGGUAUGUAAAGCCCUAUCGGCAGGGAAGAAGAAAUGACGGUACCUGAAUAAGAAGCACCGGCUAAAUACGUGCCAGCAGCCGCGGUAAAACGUAUGGUGCAAGCGUUAUCCGGAUUUACUGGGCGUAAAGGGGACGCAGGCGGCGGGCCAAGGCUGGUG
This 244-nucleotide ribosomal RNA is filed under the name uncultured bacterium. RNAcentral describes it as "partial 16S ribosomal RNA". It matches the Rfam family "Bacterial small subunit ribosomal RNA", at positions 335 to 594 of the family's 1533-position model. The record is from RNAcentral.